This 72-nucleotide transfer RNA is filed under the name Bos taurus (domestic cattle). It matches the Rfam family "tRNA". From Rfam's summary of the family: Transfer RNA (tRNA) molecules are approximately 80 nucleotides in length. Their secondary structure includes four short double-helical elements and three loops (D, anti-codon, and T loops). Further hydrogen bonds mediate the characteristic L-shaped molecular structure. tRNAs have two regions of fundamental functional importance: the anti-codon, which is responsible for specific mRNA codon recognition, and the 3' end, to which the tRNAs corresponding amino acid is attached (by aminoacyl-tRNA synthetases). tRNAs cope with the degeneracy of the genetic code in two manners: having more than one tRNA (with a specific anti-codon) for a particular amino acid; and 'wobble' base-pairing, i.e. permitting non-standard base-pairing at the 3rd anti-codon position. RNAcentral also lists the same sequence under 4 other names. The record is from Rfam by way of RNAcentral. Lineage: Eukaryota; Metazoa; Chordata; Mammalia; Artiodactyla; Bovidae.
UCCCUGGUGGCUCAGCUGGUAAAGAAUCUGCCUGCAAUGCGGGAGACCUGGGUUCAAUCCCUGGCUUGGGAG